Molecule: ribosomal RNA, 465 nt
Filed under: Vreelandella stevensii
Lineage: Bacteria; Pseudomonadati; Pseudomonadota; Gammaproteobacteria; Oceanospirillales; Halomonadaceae
Description: partial 16S ribosomal RNA
Rfam family: Bacterial small subunit ribosomal RNA
Source: RNAcentral
CCUACGGGUGGCAGCAGUGGGGAAUAUUGGACAAUGGGCGAAAGCCUGAUCCAGCCAUGCCGCGUGUGUGAAGAAGGCCUUCGGGUUGUAAAGCACUUUCAGUGGGGAAGAAAGCCUUGGGGCUAAUACCCUCGAGGAAGGACAUCACCCACAGAAGAAGCACCGGCUAACUCCGUGCCAGCAGCCGCGGUAAUACGGAGGGUGCGAGCGUUAAUCGGAAUUACUGGGCGUAAAGCGCGCGUAGGCGGUCUGAUAAGCCGGUUGUGAAAGCCCCGGGCUCAACCUGGGAACGGCAUCCGGAACUGUCAGGCUAGAGUGCAGGAGAGGAAGGUAGAAUUCCCGGUGUAGCGGUGAAAUGCGUAGAGAUCGGGAGGAAUACCAGUGGCGAAGGCGGCCUGCUGGACUGACACUGACGCUGAGGUGCGAAAGCGUGGGUAGCAAACAGGAUUAGAUACCCGAGUAGUC